GGUGAUUGAUAUCUUCAUUCGCAAAACGAAGAUGAUGACGACGCUGCAGCGCUGCCGACGCAGCAACUGCGACAGAGCACGAGUCGUUGCCGACGACGCUGCUGCUGGCUCGGGGCCUUGUGGGUGGCUGGCUGCUGCGGGUGAUGGCUGUCUGACGGGUAACGUGAGUGAUUGCAACGCGAAAGAAAAGACAAGAAAACGCGAAGUGCAACAAUGAAAAUCCAAAUAGACGACGACGAAAGAAUGAAGAAUAAUACAAUGAACACCAGUGCUUAAAAGGGACAGCAAAAGAGAUAGAGAGAGUGAGUGUGAGAAAGGGGUGGGGAAAAUGGCGUAAGACAGUGUGGGGAAGGGGAGCGUCCAAGCGUUGCCACUUUUUUGGUAAAUUGCCCAACAAAAACAUAAAGUACAAAAAAAGUCCGUUGAACCGGAACUAAGACGCGGCGUUGGCAUUGACAAGGGAUGCGAAAGAGCGAGCAAAUGAAAGAUAUAGAGCGAGAGAGUGAGAAAGGUCUCUGGACUGGCAAGAACAUUUUGUGUAUGCCUCGACACUUGUUGGCAAACCCCCUCCACUGCUCCUUCACCGCCACUCCACCUCUCCCCUCACCAUACCAACAUCAGCACACGACCCAAGCUCAGACAUCCAUCACUCACACCUCCCAAUCUGGAAUCCCCGCCUCUUCAUUAUAUACCAGAUACAAUCGAUGCUGGCGACCGCAAGAAAUGUAUCUCAUAAAUAUGUACAUACAUAUAUACAUUCAAAUGUAUGUGUACAUUCGAAAGCGGGCAAAAAAUGGAAAUAGAAAUACAAUAUUAUCGAAACUAAAUAAUGUCAUAAUUAAGUUUGUAAUGCAUUCAAAUAGAUAUAAAUACAUAUGUGUACAUUUUUGCAGUAUUCAUCUAAUUAGUACAUUUUUUUUUGUGUUUAAAUUAAGUUUCACAUACGCAAUUUUUAAAGACAAAGAAAUUUUUCUUAUUUUUCAAUUUUCAACUAUAAAAAUUCAAAGAUUUUGUAACUAAAACGAAUAAACGAAAAGUACACAAAUUAGAAAGCUUCAGUAGAGUCUGCUCGACUGUGAGAUACCCACUACCCAUUUUCAAUUAAACCAUAUUAAAAAAAAAUUAAUAUACCAAAAAAAAUAUUAAAAUACACCAAAGACCAUAUUUGGUAUAUCUAUGUUCAUAAUACCACAUUUGAAAGAUAAAAUAAAGUACAAAAUAUGUAUGAUCUUUAUUGUCAACCAAAGCAACUAAGAAAUUUACCAUACUAAGGAAUUUCCCGAAUAAAUCUAACAAUUUUCUAUACAUUUUCGUGUUAGACACAACGCAGGGCAACGUAAUUUUGUUUUUCAAUAUUGUUUUAUAAUUUUCCUGUUAUGGGAUAUAUUACUCUAUAUCCUCUUCUCUCUUUAAUAUGCCCGCAAAGUGCAAAAA
RNA transcript from Drosophila albomicans, 1434 nucleotides. RefSeq lists it as uncharacterized. Lineage: Eukaryota; Metazoa; Arthropoda; Insecta; Diptera; Drosophilidae. The transcript is spliced from 2 exons. The record is from RefSeq and is a predicted model, not a curated record.